UGGGGAGUGAUGUAAUGGUCAGCAUUCGGGCCUUUGAAGCCUGCCGUCCCGGUUCGAGUCCGGGCUCCCCAG
Molecule: transfer RNA, 72 nt
Filed under: Paraconexibacter algicola
Lineage: Bacteria; Bacillati; Actinomycetota; Thermoleophilia; Solirubrobacterales; Paraconexibacteraceae
Also listed under: 1 other name
Rfam family: tRNA
About the family: Transfer RNA (tRNA) molecules are approximately 80 nucleotides in length. Their secondary structure includes four short double-helical elements and three loops (D, anti-codon, and T loops).
Source: Rfam by way of RNAcentral